AACGCACAUUGCGCCUUCUAGUACUCUAGGAGGUAUACCUGUCCGAGCGUCGUUUCAACCCUCAAGCCCUCGUGGUUUGGUGUUAGAGUCCUACAGUCUUAUAGUCUCCCAAAACCAGUAGCGGACCCGUCGCGGCCCUUCCUUUACGUAGUAGCAUUCGCCUCGCAUCGGGAGCCCACGGGACUUUCUAGCCUCUAAACCCCCCACAAGUCCGCUCCGGCGGCACAAGGUUAACCUCGGAUCAGGUAGGAAUACCCGCUAAACUUAA
This 268-nucleotide unclassified non-coding RNA is filed under the name uncultured Lectera. RNAcentral's name for it is "sequence contains ITS2". The record is from RNAcentral. Lineage: Eukaryota; Fungi; Ascomycota; Sordariomycetes; Glomerellales; Plectosphaerellaceae.